AACGAACGCUGGCGGCAGGCUUAACACAUGCAAGUCGAACGCCCCGCAAGGGGAGUGGCAGACGGGUGAGUAACGCGUGGGAAUCUACCGUACCCAACGGAACAACAGUUGGAAACGACUGCUAAUACCGUAUACGCCCUACGGGGGAAAGAUUUAUCGGGGUAUGAUGAGCCCGCGUUGGAUUAGCUAGUUGGUGGGGUAAAGGCCUACCAAGGCGACGAUCCAUAGCUGGUCUGAGAGGAUGAUCAGCCGCAUUGGGACUGAGACACGGCCCAAACUCCUACGGGAGGCAGCAGUGGGGAAUAUUGGACAAUGGGCGCAAGCCUGAUCCAGCCAUGCCGCGUGAGUGAUGAAGGUCUUAGGAUUGUAAAGCUCUUUCACCGAUGAAGAUAAUGACGGUAGUCGGAGAAGAAGCCCCGGCUAACUUCGUGCCAGCCGCCGCAGUAA
RNAcentral lists this ribosomal RNA (447 nucleotides) under uncultured bacterium. RNAcentral's name for it is "partial 16S ribosomal RNA". It matches the Rfam family "Bacterial small subunit ribosomal RNA", at positions 29 to 523 of the family's 1533-position model. The record is from RNAcentral.